This is a long non-coding RNA of Ipomoea nil (Japanese morning glory), 103 nucleotides long. RefSeq lists it as uncharacterized. NCBI's taxonomy places the organism in Eukaryota, Viridiplantae, Streptophyta, Magnoliopsida, Solanales, Convolvulaceae. The transcript has 4 exons. The record is from RefSeq and is a predicted model, not a curated record.
GGAGGUACCUUUAAGCCCGUACCAUACUAGACUAAUUCACAUUCGCAUCGAGUCGGCCCAAUUAAGGGGCAAAGUGUUGCAUGUGCAGAUUGGUUUUUCCUUA